This 591-nucleotide ribosomal RNA is filed under the name Triticum aestivum (bread wheat). RNAcentral describes it as "partial small subunit ribosomal RNA". Lineage: Eukaryota; Viridiplantae; Streptophyta; Magnoliopsida; Poales; Poaceae. The record is from RNAcentral.
AUGGAUAUGGAACACGAAAUACCAAAAAAAUUAGGUGUACUUGCUACUCAUGGAGAUGGGGAACCUCCUAAAACCCUCGAUGCUCGUUAUGUUAAAGAUUUUAUGUACUACUUUGAUAAUCCUGAGAAAACCCCAUUCAACUUUAUAAUGGGAGUAACGUUGGAUCAACGUGAAUACUUUAGGGAUUAUCGCUUGACUCAAAAAGGGAAACUAUUAUGGGAUCAAAUUUAUAUGUUGAAGUGGUAUGCUAGGAAACUAUGCUUGAGAUAUGAUUAUACUUGUUGCUCUAGGAUGAAGUCUCCACACCUUCCCUUUUCAUGCAAAUUUAAUGAUAAUGGAACCUUGGCUUCUUAUGCUAGAGGUAUAUAUGAUUACUAUGAUGUGGAACAAAUAGAAGAAUUUGUUGCUUUUAUGGGUGCUUACGAAAUUGAAUCUAUGUUCAAAGAAUAUGAAAAUCUUUAUGAUGCUGUUUACAGACCUGAAAAUUUAGCUAUCCUUAAAUAUUCUUAUGAGAAUUAUGAAUACAAUUCCGAUAUUGAUGCGUUUAUUGAGAAAGUCUCCGCUGUCCUAGAAGAGACUAAUAUUUUGUAG